This 305-nucleotide unclassified non-coding RNA is filed under the name plant metagenome. RNAcentral describes it as "partial contains 5.8S ribosomal RNA, internal transcribed spacer 2, and large subunit ribosomal RNA". The stretch from base 1 to 105 matches the Rfam family "5.8S ribosomal RNA", at positions 50 to 154 of the family's 154-position model. The record is from RNAcentral.
GAAAUGCGAUAAGUAGUGUGAAUUGCAGAAUUCAGUGAAUCAUCGAAUCUUUGAACGCACAUUGCGCCCUUUGGUAUUCCUUAGGGCAUGCCUGUUCGAGCGUCAUCCAAACCUUCAAGCCCUGCUUGGUGUUGGGUGCCUGUCCCGCCUCCGCGCGCGGACUCACCUCAAAUCCAUUGGCGGCCCCCGCGUCGGCCACGAGCGCAGCAGAAACGCGAACUCGUGAGCCCGUCCGGGCGGCUCCCAGAAGCUACACCCACCCAGUUUGACCUCGGAUCAGGUAGGGAUACCCGCUGAACUUAAGC